ACUCUUAUAGCUUAUAGAGAGCAUAGUAUUGAAGAUACUAAGGAAAUGAAUUGUGUUUUUGGGUA
Molecule: transfer RNA, 65 nt
Filed under: Amazonina sp. Z256E
Lineage: Eukaryota; Metazoa; Arthropoda; Insecta; Blattodea; Pseudophyllodromiidae
Description: tRNA-Phe
Source: RNAcentral